Molecule: long non-coding RNA, 861 nt
Organism: Gossypium raimondii (Peruvian cotton)
Lineage: Eukaryota; Viridiplantae; Streptophyta; Magnoliopsida; Malvales; Malvaceae
Exons: 4
Source: RefSeq, a predicted model, not a curated record
UCUCUGUUUUUCCUUUUUCUUUCUUUUCUCUUCCCUUUUUUUCCAUUCGACUCUUUCCUUGCCUCUUUUCUCUACUUCCUGUGCCCUUACCCCUCAAAACCCUAGCUCUAUCCCCUUUCUUACAAUUUCGACCCAAAAAUUAAUAAAAAAUCUCAUGGGGAGAAGCCGAUAGCCAUGAACAUUGCAGAUUCUAGGGACCAAGCCCUUUCUCUGCUCACUAUCGCACUCAACCACUCUGUUUUGGCGAUGAAGCUUUCGUCUCUUAAAUAGGCCAAGGACAUUCUUUCCUCUCUCAAUUCUUCUUCCACCGCCGAACUCUUCCCCUACCUUUCCGACCUCCAACUUUCUCUUCAUAGCCUCGUUAGGGAAUUCCUGUUGAAAACAUGAAACAUAAUGAUCUCAUGGUCUUAUUUUUUUGACAGAAACAUGAAGUUGAAAGAUUGCAGGCGUCAACCCUUUGAUGGGAGAACUUCGAAAUUUAAGUUCAAAUCAGAUUGUUUUACUUGACCACUGUCAAGAACUUGUAUCAACAAUUGUAGCUAUGCAGGAGAUUCAAAAGAUUGUAGUCUUCGAAUGUGCAUUUGAAAAAAAAAUAGUAUCAUGAAGGAGGAAGGAGGUUUUGAUGGGGGUGUGGUUGUGCAAGUGGGUCAUCAGAUUUAAUUUUGGACCUCAAUGAACUUGUUCUGGCUUGUUUGCUGUUAGAACAAUUAUUUUAUUUUCCUUUUUUUUUUGUAAAUUCUUUUUACAAUGUCUGUGGCUUUUUUAGCUAAGUCAUGUGUUAGUGUAUUUUGAUUGUUGGAUCGAUUUUUGUAAUGAAUAUUCAAGCUUUAUUUUAAUUUUAAUUUUAUAUUUUUAGUCGUA